Molecule: ribosomal RNA, 397 nt
Filed under: uncultured bacterium
Lineage: Bacteria
Description: partial 16S ribosomal RNA
Rfam family: Bacterial small subunit ribosomal RNA
Source: RNAcentral
AUACGUAGGGGGCGAGCGUUGUCCGGAAUGAUUGGGCGUAAAGGGCGCGUAGGCGGCCCGGUAAGUCUGGAGUGAAAGUCCUGUUUUUAAGAUGGGAAUUGCUUUGGAUACUGUCGGGCUUGAGUGCAGGAGAGGUAAGUGGAAUUCCCAGUGUAGCGGUGAAAUGCGUAGAGAUUGGGAGGAACACCAGUGGCGAAGGCGACUUACUGGACUGUAACUGACGCUGAGGCGCGAAAGUGUGGGGAGCAAACAGGAUUAGAUACCCUGGUAGUCCACACUGUAAACGAUGAAUGCUAGGUGUAGGGGGUAUCGACCCCUCCUGUGCCGCAGUCAACACAAUAAGCAUUCCGCCUGGGGAGUACGGCCGCAAGGUUGAAACUCAAAUGAAUUGACGGGG